This 265-nucleotide unclassified non-coding RNA is filed under the name Hevea brasiliensis (rubber tree). Lineage: Eukaryota; Viridiplantae; Streptophyta; Magnoliopsida; Malpighiales; Euphorbiaceae. The record is from RNAcentral.
UUAGGGUGGGGGCCUCCCUUUAUUCCUUUAUGUUGUCGCAUGUGUUAGGCAAAAUACAUGUACAGUAGAACCCAUGCAAAUCUACUUCUCAACUAAAACACAGCAGAACCCCCAGAGAGUUGCCACUGCCUAGUGUCAAACUUGCAGCAAAGAAAUAAGCUGAACUUUGCACAACACUAGUUAAUCAUCAAUGAAAUGAACACUUAAUAAUAAUAAUAAUAACAACAAUAAUCAUAGUCUUCGUGCUAUGCUCGAGAAUAACAAA